Molecule: long non-coding RNA, 601 nt
Organism: Drosophila yakuba
Lineage: Eukaryota; Metazoa; Arthropoda; Insecta; Diptera; Drosophilidae
Exons: 2
Source: RefSeq, a predicted model, not a curated record
GCUUUUGAUUUCUUCUUAAUCACACCGAACCGGUAACGAUCAAAACGUGGAAAACGAUUGACAAUUUAAACCUUAGUUUGGGGCACAAUUCGCUUGCUUAAAAUCGAUAUAGUCCGAUUAAUAGCAAUCGAUAAACGGAUACAGUGGUUGCAGUGGGUCGAACGACAUUUUAGCCCCCUACAUUUUCUCCUUUGCACUCUUAUUAGCUGAGAAACGGGUGUCUGAACUCGACUACAGCAUACGCUCCUUUUUUAUUUAAUUAUUUUGAUUUAAAAUAUGCAUUUUUUCGGACUGCCCCUGGCAUUUCAUUUCAUUUCAUUUAAUGAAACUGGGUUCUACUUCUUGUUCUUAGUUUAACUCUCUUUUAAUAUUCGCCUGAUGUAACACUGUGUGAUGACCGUUUUUCAAAGGUGAGGAAGCAGAGCGUGCCCAAAACACAAGUUUUCUAGCUAUUCAAGUUCCCGACGACAGACGAAGUGACUAAAUCGUGUGGACAUACUUUGGAUCAGGAAUUUAUAUUAUUUACAGUGUCGAAAACGAUACUAAAUGCUUGUUACGUACUUUACAUCGAAUCUAAUAAACCCUUUUAGUGUGCGAGUAA